CCUACGGGAGGCAGCAGUCGAGAAUCAUUCACAAUGGGGGAAACCCUGAUGGUGCGACGCCGCGUGGGGGAAUGAAGUAUCUCGGUACGUAAAGCUCUAUCAGCAGGGAAGAAAAUGACGGUACCUGACUAAGAAGCCCCGGCUAACUACGUGCCAGCAGCCGCGGUAAUACGUAGGGGGCAAGCGUUAUCCGGAUUUACUGGGUGUAAAGGGAGCGUAGACGGCAGCACAAGUCUGGAGUGAAAUCCCGGGGCUUAACCCCGGAACUGCUUUGGAAACUGUGCGGCUGGAGUGCAGGAGGGGUAGGCGGAAUUCCUAGUGUAGCGGUGAAAUGCGUAGAUAUGAGGAGGAACACCGGUGGCGAAGGCAGCUUACUGGACUGUAACUGACGUUGAGGCUCGAAAGCGUGGGGAGCAAACAGGAUUAGAUACCCUAGUAGUC
This 441-nucleotide ribosomal RNA is filed under the name uncultured bacterium. RNAcentral describes it as "partial 16S ribosomal RNA". It matches the Rfam family "Bacterial small subunit ribosomal RNA", at positions 338 to 795 of the family's 1533-position model. The record is from RNAcentral.